Molecule: ribosomal RNA, 494 nt
Filed under: Enterobacter asburiae
Lineage: Bacteria; Pseudomonadati; Pseudomonadota; Gammaproteobacteria; Enterobacterales; Enterobacteriaceae
Description: bacterial SSU rRNA
Rfam family: Bacterial small subunit ribosomal RNA
Source: RNAcentral
CUGUCGUCAGCUCGUGUUGUGAAAUGUUGGGUUAAGUCCCGCAACGAGCGCAACCCUUAUCCUUUGUUGCCAGCGGUCCGGCCGGGAACUCAAAGGAGACUGCCAGUGAUAAACUGGAGGAAGGUGGGGAUGACGUCAAGUCAUCAUGGCCCUUACGAGUAGGGCUACACACGUGCUACAAUGGCGCAUACAAAGAGAAGCGACCUCGCGAGAGCAAGCGGACCUCAUAAAGUGCGUCGUAGUCCGGAUUGGAGUCUGCAACUCGACUCCAUGAAGUCGGAAUCGCUAGUAAUCGUAGAUCAGAAUGCUACGGUGAAUACGUUCCCGGGCCUUGUACACACCGCCCGUCACACCAUGGGAGUGGGUUGCAAAAGAAGUAGGUAGCUUAACCUUCGGGAGGGCGCUUACCACUUUGUGAUUCAUGACUGGGGUGAAGUCGUAACAAGGUAACCGUAGGGGAACCUGCGGUUGGAUCACCUCCUUACCUUAAAGAA